RNAcentral lists this ribosomal RNA (65 nucleotides) under Flavobacterium columnare. Lineage: Bacteria; Pseudomonadati; Bacteroidota; Flavobacteriia; Flavobacteriales; Flavobacteriaceae. The record is from RNAcentral.
UAAGGUGGUUAUUGCGGCGGGGCUCACCUCUUCCCAUUUCGAACAGAGAAGUUAAGCCCGCCAGC